UGGAGUUAUGCUGUAAAGGCAUGGAGAGUUGAAUUGAACUUGGUUUACCUUCACCUUUACCUUUUGGUUUUUGCAUAAUUAGAACUACAAUAGGUUAUAUUGAACAUAUCAUCUUUUAGUCCGAGUUUGUGAAGUAUGCAGGAGAUUGUUUUUUUCCUUCUUGUUGUAGAAACUUGGUAUUUCAGUGUAAAUAGUACAUAUGCAUUUGUCUGUAUGAUGCUCUUUUAUCUUGUCCGAUUCUUCAUCUACUAAUUGAAUCUUGGAUAAGUGAUCGAUGGUCUUCUUUUUAACUUUCCAUUCUCGAGAAUUUUUCAUGUGCUGGUGAUAAGAUUAGGGUUUACAGUGGCUGCCUUUUAGGAUUUUUUUACAGAUGAACAGUUUUAUCUGAUGGAGGAAUUAGGCGCGGGUAGCUUUGGAACCUUUAUGGCUGUAACUGGAUUGGGAGAUUAUCGUGAAGUUUUGAUUAUGCAGAAUAUUUAUAAAGAGUUUUGAAAAACAAUGGCGAUGCACACUCUGAGGGUUGGAAAUGCAGGUAGGAAUGUUAGGAAUUACUAAAUUCCUAAAAGUACAAAGGAUGAUAAAUAUGUUAAGUACACGUUAAUUAAUCAUGGAGGCGUAGUUGAACAGUUGGAUGUUGUAUGGUUGGUUGGUUGGUUGAUUAGGCAACUAUUUUGCACAUGUCUGACCUUCAAGAGACAAAUAUACAAUUCUUGAGAAGAGAGAUUGCAUGACAAAUGAAAAAUUGGAUUCUUUUUCCAUGAAGCUCUAAUAUUUGAGUCAGGUUACAUCAACUAAAACUAACAUGUUUGGGUGAAGAUUUAGAGAAGGGGAAGGUUCUCUUGAUUGCUUUAUUCGAUUUGGCUGAUGAGAUUUUACUUAAGGCAAAAGGGGAUUGUAAACCUGAAUCAGCAGAGAGGGGAUUGUAAACCUGAAUCAGCAGAGACUCGCCACGCGACUGUUGAUAUGGUGCUCCUUUUGCUAAUUGUAUGCGCCUGCUUAUAUUCAUGGAAAGGGAUGACUGCCCUGCUUAAGAUUGGAUAUGGGUGCAAGUAAUUUCAUUAGGCGUUAGGCACCUAUGAUAGAUAGUUGGAAACGCUUUUGGUCGUUAAUAACUGGUUUCAAUCUAUUUUUAUUUGAAAUCUGAAUUGGAUCAGUGUCAAAAUUCAGACCGUGCAACUUUAAGAGUAAUGACAGAAAAGAAAGAGUAAUGAUUUAGUUGUCACUCCUUGAACUUAUUAUUAUUUUUCUGCAUCACAUUUCACAUAAAUAGUGAAAGAUACACUGCAACUUUAAGCUGCAUCCAGGAGUAGGAAUUAGCAAUAUGCAUAAUAGCCAGCGCCAUACCUGGCCACACAUCCUUUAUUGCCUUCAUCUUUUUGACAGACACCUCCAUGCAAUGGUUUCUCUCAUUGGCCAGCAACAUUUGCCAGCAUCUUCUCGCUACCUGCACUCAUUAAGAAAUAAUCAAGUCAUCGAAGUAAUCUUGACAUAAUCUUCAUAUAUUUGAGAGCACUGCUGCCACGUUUAGUAAUAGGAACUCUGUUUAAAAUUUGAAUUUUUCAAGCAUUUCCUGAAAAGUGCCCAAAUUUAAAAACAUGGGUGUGCAAGUAUCUCUAUGAAACAACACUGGGACGUUUUAUCGAAGGACUUGGAUGUGUGAAUUUCGAUCAGGUUUUAGUGAGCAAACAAUUCGUUAUCUACCUUAGCCAACAAAAAAUAAAGCAGCACGGGGUUGAACCGUUGAAGGAACAUUUUACCAGAAGAGAUAAAGAGAAUAACAAAAAGGAGGAUGGCAAAAACUGAAAGGCUCUUCCAAGGCGUCCACAUUACCUAAUUGCAAAGUGUAGGAUUUGUUUGUGAAGAUAUGGAUGCAGCUUCUGAUGUUGUGUAGGAAGCAUUUGCCAGUAUUUAUAAGGAGCAUUUGUGCCUAGAUUUCUCAAUUUUUUGGUUGAAUUAUUGUUUUAAAAAUGAUUAAAAAAAAAAAAAAGGUUGCCAAGUUUUUAUGGCGUUGCCAUAUUAUAUGAUAAAACUGCCACGUAGCAUAAACAUUGCCGUAAAAAGGAGAUGUAUGUCUAUUUUCCCAACAAUUUCCCCAGAAAUAACUCAAGUGUUAUUGAAUGUUUAUUGACAAGAGAAGACAUCCCUUAAGAACACUUGCCUUAAAUCACACAAAACCAAUUGAUACAAGACACUGCAAACUUAGAAACCGUUUGGGAACCUCCCAAAAAAUUCAAUAUUUUUUUAAUUAAAAUUUAAUAUAUUUUAUAUAUUUUAAAUUGUUUUAAUGUGUUAAUAUUAAAAUAAUUUUUAAAAAAUAAAAAAAUAUCAUUAAUAUAUAUAUUUUAAUAUUUAAAAAACAAUCAUUAUAACCUUAGCACGAGUAUGAGAUAUUAAACCAAAAUGCUUAGGCACAAUCCAAGCCCAAACUAUCUACCAGAUUUGUGACGCGGCAUCGUAUUACUUGUGAAUUCCUCCACAAAACGUCAUGUCAGUCUUACCCCUGCAUGAAAAACUAAAAAGACCCCCAAAACCCUCUAAAUCUCGAAAGUACCCCACGAACCCAAUUCCUUAAACCCUUCCCAGUUCACUCAACCCUCUCUCCGUCACCAAACCCGACCCGCCCAGGACGAUCCACAGUUCGUUCACUCGCCGCCAAAGCUUGAAGGCAGUCUCAUUUAAGCUGGCGACAAUAAGAACCCGAUUUCGAAACGCCUCUGAUGAGAAAUUUUGUUAAUGUUGUAGCGAGAUCCUUCUUCCUAUCAAGCAGCCUCCUUUUUCAUCUUCACAAAGUUCGUUUCUUCCUUCGGAAGAAUUGUAUCACAUCCAUCCCAGUUGGUUCUCAUUGGAUUUUGCCCCACGUUGCCACAAUUACUGAAGUCAUUGGUCAUUACAAGCAACUCACAACACGAACGUCUUUUGAUGAAGAGGAGAUCAAGGAUGAUAACUUGAAUCAAAUGCUUGAAGCUGUUGAAAAUGCCCCAGAAUGCACUACUAGGAAAGUCGGAACUGCUUAUGUCCAUAACUUAUGUAAAGCUGGAACUCUUUUUGCUGCGGUUAGACUGCUGCGAUUGUUACGCGAUAAAAACAUUUUCCUUGGUCCUAGUGCUUAUAAUAUAAUUUUGGUGACAGCUAGUGAAAAAAACGAUGUUGAGAUUUUGUCCCAGGUUUUCAAGGAUUUGAUCUUGUCUUUUCAGUCUUUGCCUUCAUCUUUGUAUCUGAAACUUGCCAGGGGUUUUGUGAAGUCAAAUGAUGAUGUCCAGCUACUGAGACUCGUCAAGGAAGUUUCUGAAUUGACAUUCCCAAGUAGCACGAAGGUUGUAAAUAGAUUUAUCUUUGCCUUUGCUGAAUGUGGGCAGUUUGACAAAGCCAUUCUGAUAUUUGAGCAGAUGGAGAAUCUGAAAUGUAAGCCAGAUUUGGUUACGUAUAAUACUGUUUUGGAUCUUUUAGGUCGUGCAGGUCGGAUUGAUGAAAUGCUCGAUGAGUUUGCCUCCAUGAAGGAAGCAGGAAUUCUCCCGGAUUUUAUUUCUUACAAUACUUUGCUAAAUCAGUUGGCCAAAGUAGGAAGAUUGGAUUUGUGUUCAGUGUAUUUCCAAGACAUGGUUGAGAAUGGAAUUGAACCAGAUUUGCUUACAUACACUGCAUUGAUUUGGAGUUUUGGCCAAUCCGGAAACAUUGAGGAGUCAUUGAGACUCUUUAAUGAGAUGAAAACAAAGCAGAUUCGUCCCUCAAUUUAUAUAUAUCGAUCAUUAAUUGCUAGUUUGAAGAAGAUGGGAAAGGUUGAAUUGGCAAUGAUCUUUUUGGAGGAGAUGAAUGCAUCAAUGUCAAACCUAGCUGGUCCCAAGGAUUUCAAACGAACACACAGAUAGUCGCACACAGCGAAGGAAGGGUUUUUGCAAUUCAAAGGAGAGUACUUGGUUCAGAAGUUAGCUUAAGCUAGUGAAUAAUUGCCGACUCAUCUUAAGGCCAAGGCAAGAAGAUGUUACUCGAACUGGUUUGGGUGGCGGCCUGUCACCAGUUCUUCACGGUGGGUUCCUUGGUGAUCCUAGUCAGGUGAUUUGAGUACUAUUUUUAUUUUAUAGUGCCCCAGCUAGCUAGUUGGUGCCUGCAAGUGAUUCACAAUUUUUUUUUUUUUUCAUUUGGUGCAAGUGACUCAUAAUACUUGACUGCACAGCCCUGGUAACUCGAUCGUGGCCUUGGGUCCUAAUAGAAGAAAUACACGGUCUCUUUUGUCAAAUCAAUCAUAUUCUCUACAUUUAUAGAUGAUUGCAAAUUUGUUUCAUAAGCUAGCUAGCUUGUCAUGAUAGGAGGCACCAUAUUUAACCUACCUCUUUGUUUGGUUGUUGUUGUUGGUUUCUCACUAAACAAAAACUGUGAUAUCUCAAUGAUGGAAAUCCCCAGCCAAUUCGUUGACUUGAA
Molecule: RNA transcript, 4416 nt
Organism: Populus nigra (black poplar)
Lineage: Eukaryota; Viridiplantae; Streptophyta; Magnoliopsida; Malpighiales; Salicaceae
Gene name: pentatricopeptide repeat-containing protein At1g11900-like
Exons: 3
Source: RefSeq, a predicted model, not a curated record